This 30-nucleotide small RNA is filed under the name Bombyx mori (domestic silkworm). Its description in RNAcentral is "ovarian small RNA-670". The record is from RNAcentral. Lineage: Eukaryota; Metazoa; Arthropoda; Insecta; Lepidoptera; Bombycidae.
GAGGUAUGCGAUGAGUGACCUAUGGUCGUC